Danionella cerebrum is the source of this 72-nucleotide non-coding RNA. The record is from the annotation of a GenBank genome assembly. Lineage: Eukaryota; Metazoa; Chordata; Actinopteri; Cypriniformes; Danionidae.
GGAUUGUUGGUCUAGGGGUAUGAUUCUUGCUUAGGGUGCCAGAAGUCCUGGGUUCAAAUCCCAGAAGACCCC